RNAcentral lists this ribosomal RNA (223 nucleotides) under uncultured Actinomycetes bacterium. RNAcentral describes it as "uncultured actinobacterium partial 16S ribosomal RNA". It matches the Rfam family "Bacterial small subunit ribosomal RNA", at positions 1013 to 1236 of the family's 1533-position model. Lineage: Bacteria; Bacillati; Actinomycetota; Actinomycetes. The record is from RNAcentral.
GGUCUCUUUGGACACUCGUGCACAGGUGGUGCAUGGUUGUCGUCAGCUCGUGUCGUGAGAUGUUGGGUUAAGUCCCGCAACGAGCGCAACCCCUAUCUUAUGUUGCCAGCACGUUAUGGUGGGGACUCGUAAGAGACUGCCGGGGUCAACUCGGAGGAAGGUGGGGAUGACGUAAAUCAUCAUGCCCCUUAUGUCUUGGGCUUCACGCAUGCUACAAUGGCCG